This 23-nucleotide non-coding RNA is filed under the name Arabidopsis thaliana (thale cress). The record is from RNAcentral. Lineage: Eukaryota; Viridiplantae; Streptophyta; Magnoliopsida; Brassicales; Brassicaceae.
CAUAUAUCAAUAUAAGAGAAAUG